AAUACCCAGUUGUUUUUUUUAUUUGUUUUUUUACCUACUCCUUACUCCAGGCAUUUAAAGAAUGCAUAAUGACAUGGUUUCUACUCUGAGCAGGCUGCAUCACGACAGUGCAGUGUGCCUAGUUGGCCUCAACUCCAGGAUACCCACUUCUUGUUAGAGAGGCUCAGUCUCCAGAAGAUUUGUCCAGGCAGGACUGGCAUUUCAGACAAGCCGAGUAUGUUGUGUGACUCUGUGGUAUGAUUUGGGGAGUGUCUUCAGGGUUGCCAUGUCCUACUCAUGCCUAAAAUUCCAUCCUUAGUGAUUCAUACAUGUUUACACCCUUGCCUGGAAGCAAGAGAUACAGAAAGAAAAGGCUGGUAACUUACUUCUGAAUUUUGCUU
This 380-nucleotide long non-coding RNA is filed under the name Ictidomys tridecemlineatus (thirteen-lined ground squirrel). RNAcentral's name for it is "lncRNA (ENSSTOG00000031301.1)". The record is from RNAcentral. Lineage: Eukaryota; Metazoa; Chordata; Mammalia; Rodentia; Sciuridae.